This 492-nucleotide ribosomal RNA is filed under the name uncultured bacterium. RNAcentral's name for it is "partial 16S ribosomal RNA". It matches the Rfam family "Bacterial small subunit ribosomal RNA", at positions 29 to 507 of the family's 1533-position model. The record is from RNAcentral.
AGUGAACGCUGGCGGUAGGCCUAACACAUGCAAGUCGAACGGCAGCACAGUAAGAGCUUGCUCUUACGGGUGGCGAGUGGCGGACGGGUGAGGAAUACAUCGGAAUCUACUUUUUCGUGGGGGAUAACGUAGGGAAACUUACGCUAAUACCGCAUACGACCUACGGGUGAAAGCAGGGGAUCUUCGGACCUUGCGCGAUUGAAUGAGCCGAUGUCGGAUUAGCUAGUUGGCGGGGUAAAGGCCCACCAAGGCGACGAUCCGUAGCUGGUCUGAGAGGAUGACCAGCCACACUGGAUCUGAGCCACGGUCCAGCCUCUUACGGGAGGCAGCAGUGGGGAAUAUUGGACAAUGGGCGCAAGCCUGAUCCAGCCCUACCGCGUGGGUGCAGAAGGCCUUCGGGUUGUAAAGCCCUUUUGUUGGGAAAGAAAAGCAGCAGGUUAAUACCCCGCUGUUCUGACGGUACCCAAAGAAUAAGCACCGGCUAACUUCGUG